UGAGACAUUUUGGGCUUCCUUCCUGAG
Molecule: non-coding RNA, 27 nt
Filed under: Mus musculus (house mouse)
Lineage: Eukaryota; Metazoa; Chordata; Mammalia; Rodentia; Muridae
Source: RNAcentral